AUAAGUUACAGCUUUAAAACUGAAGCAAUCGGUGCAAAAUGGAUGCUAGUGUUUACUUUAUCUUAUGUUUCCUUGUUCUUGCAGGAGACGGUCGUGUGCUAGCCAAUUCAUGUGGAACACUUUCCGUUGUGAAGCCAACGUUUGUGAGCAGAAACGUCACCUUGAAAUUCAUCCCUCGUCAUUCGUGGAUCACACAGUUUGCUCUGAGGUGAAACACACGGGUUCAACCCUUAGAUGGCCUUCAGGCACAUGUUCAACAAACUGUUCAGGAUGGAAAUCAGGCCAGAGUGUGGCAAUCUGCUGCUCCUAUCCUCGGAAAUAAAAUAUGGAACAACGGUUGAAGUAGCGUAUUACCCUUCAGACCAAAGGACAUUCGGGAACCAUCCGUAUAAUAAACGUACAUGGUUGAAAGGUGUUCUUCAAGAGCCUUUGCAUCUCCGAGAUAACAUUUAUGAAGAGUGGAAAAUGUCGGAUUAUUUGUACACUCUAAAAAUAUACAAUUUGAAUGAGAGAAAAGCUGGACGUUACGCUUUGAAAUGUGAAAGGUCAAUGGCAUCUGCCACAAACUGGUUAAGCAUACAUGUAACAAUAAGCAGCUAAUUGGGCCAAUUUGGGAUGAUUGUGUUUACGGCAAUGCAGACACUACCAUUUAUUGCAACACAAGUCGUACUUCAGGGAGUACGCACGUGACAUUUUCCAAGAGUCAAGAAUUUACAAUGACACAGCACGGACGGCAGACUGGGGUAUAUGCCAUUGAACUUGACGUAAACACUUGGAGGGACCAUGACGGCGGUUUUGUAAUUUGCAUGGUCUCUAACGAUGCUUAUGUACACGAUCUGAAGAGCACGACAAAAUUGUGUUAUAUGGAGAAAGGUUCGGACCCUAUUUUGAAUAUACCAGAAUACAUCCACAAUGAAAAUACAACAAUCAGCGGCGAGGUUUUGAAUACACGCCCUCCAGCGUGUAUUGAAAUAAUGGUUAACAACGAAGACAUUAUUGAUGCUGUUCAAGAGAAUUUGUUGAACGAAUCGUCAAAAACAUUCGCCAGUAAAGCUUUCAUAUUAAAGAUAGACAAGAAGUAGGAAUGGAAAGGAAAUAUGUUGUCGUCGAAAUUCUACAAUUUACGGAAAUACGGAAGCUACCUGUAAAAUAUUAGACAUACAAUAUGGCCCUGUUGUCGACAUUAUGGAGGAACUGAAUAUUGAGGAAGGAAGUAGCGUGUCGUUCAAAUGCAAAUUUAGCCGGGGCAACCCUCCGCAGGAAUCAUCGGUUGUAUGGACGAGAACAUUAAACAAUCAACGUUGGGAGGACGGUUCUCUUGAAAUCACGUCUAUUCAGAGGUCUGAUGAUGACAUUUAUACAUGCACAGUCACAAAUGAAAUGGUACUAUCUGAAGGGAAAAUUGUGAAUGGAAUCAGUAACGGAACAAUGCAUUUAAAUGUACAUUACAAAUCAAUGGUUAGAAAAUUUGCUGUUAUAGGCUCGGAAUACACAGAUAGUGUUACCAAAGCAGAAAACGACAUAGCAGUAUUAGUGUGUGUGGUUGAUAGUAACCCUAAAGCUGAAAUUAGCAUCGCUAAAGGCGACGAAAUACUGGAAGUUGAACAGUAUGGAAACAAUCUAACACACACUAUAGCUAGUUUGUCAUGCUUAAAUGCAGGUCUCUACUCGUGUACAGGUGCAAAUAGAUACAACCGCGAUAAGCCGUCCAAAGGCAUACUAGAAAUGUUUGUUACCUGUUCGGUCAGUCGUCCGUUCAAUGGAAAUGUGACGCUUAUAUUUUACAGUCCUUUAAAUGAAAAUGUGACGUUAUCAUACAUUGCAUUUGCAUAUCCAAUACCCAAAGCUGGGCAAUUCACUUGGAAAAAGUGCAUUGGAAACGAGACUUGCAUAGUAAUAACUGCAAAUUCGUCCAAGUAUGACAUAUCGACAAUCGGACUGUCGAGUUAUCUAAUAAUUACCCAUGUAAAUGAAAACGACUAUGGAAAGUACCAGUUAACAAUUACGAAUGGUGUUGGUGAGGAAUUAACGGAAGUAUUUCAAUUAAAGAAAGGUGGUAAUAAUGAAAUUUCAGAAAAAAACCUUCCACUUAUACUGUUUGUGCUUCUGUCGGAGGAAGUAUCGUUGCUAUGGUUAUUGGAUCUGUUAUUAUUGUAUAUUGCACUCGACGAAAGGUUUCUCUAAGCAACGUGUGUUGCUCAUGUGGUUCACGUAAUAAAAAUUCCAAUUUGAGAGCAAAAGAAGUAGACAUGUACUUGACCUGCGUGCAUCAUUCAAGGCCAGCUACAGACGGAAGCCACUAUCAGAGCGUUACGGAUAUAUUGGAAGCGGAAACUCAAACGAAUGAAGGAAAUACUGGCGAACCGCUCACAGUGCCCUACGAAUCGCCCAAUACGGCAACAAUUGAAUAAGAUGCCUUAGGCAAGAGAGUCGACUUUAAUAGAACAAACAUGUGGACUGAUGCAUUUCAAAGAAGAGAAAAUCAUCAAUUGAAAAAGUGAAAUACCACUUCUAUUUUACUGACAAAUCUUAACCAACCACCAGAAAGAUAUGGAUAUGGACAUCCAAGAAUGAAACACAUGUUUUAGAGACAUUAUUUGUAAAUUAAAUAUUUUGGUGGACUUUGUUGAUAUCGUGAAGAAAAGCCGUUAAUUCAUCUUCAUAAUGUUACCAUAUGAAGAAAAUGUCAUCAAGGAAACGCAACCGUAGUAACGUUUUUUUGGAACAGGUUUUAAGAAAAUCUUGUUCAAACUUUCCCAUAAACAAAGAUGCAAAGCACGGCGCCAUUUUCGUGCCCAUAGCUGUUCCUAAAAUCUGAAAAUUGUUCUUUGUUUAUACAAGUUUGAUUAAGUUUGAAAUGUCCUCAAUGUAUCCAAGAGAGUUAGAGUUGUCUUGUUCAAGGAAGGAUCUGCAUGCUGCUAUACCGAAACGUUGUUUCAUAAAUAAAUAGUUUGUGUUGAAGUUGGACUUCUUUAAUUAUCACUAUAUACAUGUUUG
Molecule: RNA transcript, 2997 nt
Organism: Mya arenaria
Lineage: Eukaryota; Metazoa; Mollusca; Bivalvia; Myida; Myidae
Exons: 13
Source: RefSeq, a predicted model, not a curated record